AUGAACGCUGGCGGCGUGCCUAAUACAUGCAAGUCGAGCGAACAGACGAGGAGCUUGCUCCUCUGACGUUAGCGGCGGACGGGUGAGUAACACGUGGAUAACCUACCUAUAAGACUGGGAGAACUUCGGGAAACCGGAGCUAAUACCGGAUAAUAUAUUGAACCGCAUGGUUCAAUAGUGAAAGACGGUUUUGCUGUCACUUAUAGAUGGAUCCGCGCCGCAUUAGCUAGUUGGUAAGGUAACGGCUUACCAAGGCAACGAUUCGUAGCCGACCUGAGAGGGUGAUCGGCCACACUGGAACUGAGACACGGUCCAGACUCCUACGGGAGGCAGCAGUAGGGAAUCUUCCGCAAUGGGCGAAAGCCUGACGGAGCAACGCCGCGUGAGUGAUGAAGGUCUUCGGAUCGUAAAACUCUGUUAUUAGGGAAGAACAAAUGUGUAAGUAACUAUGCACGUCUUGACGGUACCUAAUCAGAAAGCCACGGCUAACUACGUG
RNAcentral lists this ribosomal RNA (496 nucleotides) under uncultured bacterium. RNAcentral describes it as "partial 16S ribosomal RNA". It matches the Rfam family "Bacterial small subunit ribosomal RNA", at positions 29 to 507 of the family's 1533-position model. The record is from RNAcentral.